This 443-nucleotide ribosomal RNA is filed under the name uncultured bacterium. Its description in RNAcentral is "SSU rRNA". It matches the Rfam family "Bacterial small subunit ribosomal RNA", at positions 26 to 518 of the family's 1533-position model. The record is from RNAcentral.
AGAACGAACGCUGGCGGCAGGCCUAACACAUGCAAGUCGAACGCCCCGCAAGGGGAGUGGCAGACGGGUGAGUAACACGUGGGAACCUUCCUAUUAGUAUGGAAUAGACCAGGGAAACUUGGAUUAAUACCGUAUACGCCCUAAGGGGGAAAGAUUUAUCGCUAAUAGAUGGGCCCGCGUAAGAUUAGCUAGUUGGUGAGGUAAUGGCUCACCAAGGCUACGAUCUUUAGCUGGUUUGAGAGAAUGAUCAGCCACACUGGAACUGAGACACGGUCCAGACUCCUACGGGAGGCAGCAGUGGGGAAUAUUGGACAAUGGGCGCAAGCCUGAUCCAGCCAUGCCGCGUGAGUGAUGAAGGCCUUCGGGUUGUAAAGCUCUUUUAGUAGAGAAAAUAAUGAUGGUAUCUACAGAAAAGCCCCGGCUAACUUCGUGCCAGCAGCCGC